Lagenorhynchus albirostris (white-beaked dolphin) is the source of this 3156-nucleotide long non-coding RNA. RefSeq lists it as uncharacterized. The record is from RefSeq and is a predicted model, not a curated record. Lineage: Eukaryota; Metazoa; Chordata; Mammalia; Artiodactyla; Delphinidae. The transcript has 2 exons.
UUUGGCAAGGAUCGUAGCCUAAAAAUAGUAGUCUUCAAAGUAGUAGCAUUUUAGUUGGGUAGAAGGCUACUUGGGGAGCCUUUGUCACUGCAGCAAAAGGGAAAUUGGUGUAAGGGUGGUAUUGUAAAUUGAAGGGAGAAAGGUGGUUAAAUUUUCCCUGCUACUUGUCUGGACCAUUUAAGAUUUGUGUUACCUUACCAUAACAAAUCAAGUGAAAGAUACAUUCUUUCAAAUUUGAGGAACUCUUCAGAUAUCCAUCCACAGACAGAAUGUGGAUUUUGAAAAUAUAUGUGAUAUUAUCUAUCUACCUAAAUAUAGAUACUUACAUGAAAGAAUCAACUGUUUUUCUUAGUCUUUUAUUAUUAGCGUUAUUGAAGUUGGUACAUAAAAGCAGAACUAAAUUAAAACCCACUGUAAGUACUAUGUACAAUAUAUGUUGUGUUAAAUUGAUUGUUUCCAAAUUCUGUAGCAGCAGAGAUCUGUUUAUCAAAAUGUCUUGUAUUGAGAAAUACUUAAAGCCUAUAUUUAGGGGAAAUAAAUCCGUAACUAACUGUGUAGAAUAAGUUGUGAUCCUGUCAACUUUUUAUAGAAGAGCUAAUCGGUUGAUGACUUUUAAACAGCUCAAAUAACUUUAUUUUAGAAUUUAAAUAAAUGUACCAAAUUCCUUCCCUAUUCUCCUGCAUAGUUCUGAAAAAGUGUUGUUUUCAGAUCAACAAACAAUUUUUAAUGGCCAAAGCUUGGAUUUUUAGAUUCAAACUGGUGUUUUUUUCUUUAAUAUUAUUGCAUAAUUUACAUGGAAUUUUUAAGUUAAAAAAAGUAAUAUCUUCAAUUUUGACAUCUUAUAAAGCAGAUUUUUAUCUCAGAAGCUAUUACGCCUUUCAAGAAAGUCAUUUGUCAUGAAAAUUUCAGCUUUUUUUUCUUUUAUGCUGAGAAAUAGGCUAACAUGGGUUAUAGUGAAUUUUAUAAGAACAGUUGUAUGGUUACGAAAUGUGUGAGAAUGGAGAUCUUUUGGCUGAAAUACUCCGAGUGAUUAUUUUUUCCUGUAGAAACUUAAAGGCUCAAGUGUAAACUUACUAGGAAAAAUACUUUGGCUUUAGUUUAUUGGGAUUUGUUAAUAAUAUAUUGAUUACUCACAUUUUUCACUUAGCAUUAUUUCAAAAUUUAAAGCCAUGUAGGUGGGUUAUUGUUUGGUGCUUACUAUUUUUGGUUAUAUCUGUCAUUACUGUUUACAUCAGUUUGAAAAAAGGUUUUCAGAAAUGGCAUUCACUUUGUUACCCACUAGCUUUGAGGGGUCUCUUGAUGCCUACUUCAUGAACUGUAGUAGAUGGCUGGUACCAUUUUGACUCACUGAAGGUGAACGUAUUGCUUUGAUUUAAUUGUGAAAUGUGUGAAUAAAUGAGAUUUCCACUGUCUCUACUUAACUACAUAAAACUAGAGACUUUGCAGAAUCAACAAGAUUGCUGUUCAGCAUAACUUUGGUUUGGUAAGGGUGAAGCACACAUAGGUGAUGUAGAAUGAAUGGAAUGCCUCCGUACUUCCCUACUAUGUGGAAGAUGGUAAUUAAUCAUGGUGGUCAGUUCCAUAGGCCUCCAAGCCACUGGUGACACCCUACCAUUGUUGCUGUUAAUUUUUAGAAGUCUGUUUAUGCAAGACUCCUGAUUAUCAUGUAUAAAUAGCAACCUCCCCCAAGCACCUGCCCCAUUCUUCUUAAGGCCUAACAAAUCCUUAGCACUUCUCACCAUCUGACAUGUUUUUGUUCAUUUGUUGAUUGAUUGUCUCUCCCACUAGUAUAUAAGCUUCAUGAUGGCAGGAACUUUGUCCACUAUUGUAUAUUUCUAACUCGUCAGACUAUUUGGCAUAUUAUAGUAUGCAGUGAGUAUUGUAGAAGAAAUGGGAUUUCUGUUUGUUUGUACUGAAGUUUGCAAAGUUGUGGGAAGAUGGAAUAUAAAGAUUCUAUUGUUCUAAUUGCAUUUGGGACAUGAAAUUUGUGCUUUCUGGGUGAGUAGACUUUGGCACAGAGGCUAACUGCAAUUUGUUAUUCCCUCUGUCUAGGCAGAUUUAAACUCUUAAGAGAAGCCAUUAAAAUUCUUUUGGAUUCCUACUUUUUAGACGUGGGGUUGGCUGUUACUGAAUAACAUUAACCUAGCUAUGGGGAGGACUUUUUGUCUCUUAUUCUCUCUUCUUCCCUCUGGAUCUUAGAGUGGAGAAAUGGACUUUUGUUUCACCUAUAACUCUACAAGUAUUUAUACCAUCAUAUCAACACAUGUACAAGGAAUCAUGCCACACGUUGUGGAAGAUAAAAGGAAACAAAAGAUUCCUGAAUUUAUUUUAAAAAAGCAAAGAAUGAAUCUUGAUCACUUAAAACAAAAAUGGUGGGACAGUCAGGUUACAGUUAAGAUUAUGUUCCUGUUUUUUAAGCAGAAGAUAUUUUUGGACAUAGAGGUGAAAAUUUCUAGUAUUUCCAAUUCCCCAGAGAAGAAACUUGAGAAUCAUUUGCCUAGAGGUUUUUGUUGGGGAUGAGAGGACAAAAUAGAAUGGUAUAGCCCUCAGAGAAAGAAAAAUGCAAAAUAUACUAGGAGUAGAUGGUGAUUGUCUAUUAAUUCCGUAGCUACAUGUAGACUUUUAUUAGGUCACUUAUAACUAGAGUUUAUAUUCCAUAUAAACUAUGGUUUAUAUUCCAAACUGGGUCACUUUCAAGAGUGAAAGUAUAUGCUAUCUGAAGUAUAUGCUAUCUGAAUGGAACACUGGGACAACAGGUGUAAACCAGGACUGUUCCAGGAAAAUCAGGGCACUGAUCGCCCCUUACUAAUAACAUACUUUCCUACAGACUUAGUCCCAGUUCUUUGAACCUCUCCACAUAAUUUUUUUCUCCUUUAGAGAACUCUGAUCUGCACUCAUAGAAUCUCAAGCUUUGGUUCCUUUUUCCUGGUCUCAGUGGAAUGAAAAGAAUUCGUUCCAUAUUUUCUGGAGCCCUGGACUGUUCUGGUUUACAGCAUUGGUGGAGGUGGGAUUGUAAUUCUGAAACUUCAGAUCUUCAAAGAAGGGAAGGAGAAUGCCUUGUGCUUGUACCAUAGACAUGUGAUUUUUUUUUUAAGUUGGAACACUGUAAUGUUUUUAUUUUGUUUAAAUAAAUUUAAAUAAAUUUUUUUAUUCUUA